RNAcentral lists this ribosomal RNA (837 nucleotides) under uncultured low G+C Gram-positive bacterium. Its description in RNAcentral is "partial 16S ribosomal RNA". The stretch from base 564 to 660 matches the Rfam family "Bacterial small subunit ribosomal RNA", at positions 1229 to 1325 of the family's 1533-position model. Lineage: Bacteria; Bacillati; Bacillota. The record is from RNAcentral.
GAUCCGGUCCGAAAUCUGUAAAUACUGUCCUCUACAUCUCCUCCGCCUACUCCGGCCUCUCGUAUAACUACGCUCGCCCCCGAUAUACCUAUCACCCCUUCUUCGUUCAGUAUCCCCCUAUGCUCUAUCUGUUUCUCCUCGUCUCCUGCUCACUUGCCCCGCCUCUCUGCCUCUUCGCACGCACUCCUCGCCCUCCGCCACCGCGAUGUCCCCUGGCACACGACCCUACCGAAGAGAGCCGACUCACGCCGAAUAAGUUCAGACAAUGAGCAGUGGUAUUAGGACAGAUCAGAAGGAGUCACGAACCACAUGACGAUAAUGAAUUAAUUAAAUCAUAUAUAAUUUUAGCAAAUUUCUUUUUAGAACUCUCUCUAUAUUACCAAACAAAUAAUCAGAUAAUUAAAAAAUACUAGAUAUAAUCAAAAAUGAUGACUAAAGCUUCAUUCUAAUUUCAAGCAUUUCUUCCUCCUUUUUAAUAUUAUUUGCCGUCAUAAUACUAAUUUAAUAAAUCUACGCCGUAACCUCCAGAAGGACAANUCCAGACAGAGAUGCACACAUAUUAUAAUCCUAGGUACAAAGGGAAGCAAGACCUUCAGGUGGAGCCAAUCCCAGAAAACCGGGCCCAGUUCAGAUUGUCGUGUGCAACUCGACGGCAUGAAGUUGGAAUCGCUAGUAAUGGCGCAUCAGUUACGGCGCCGUGAAUACGUUCCCAGGCCUCGUACACACCGCCCGUCACAUCAUUGAAGCCGGUCGCACCCCAAGUGCCUGACCCAACCGCGCCGACAGCAGGGCCCUAACCUGUAGCUGGUAAUUGGGAUGAAGGGGUAACAAGUUCGG